UCCUACGGGAGGCAGCAGUAGGGAAUCUUCCGCAAUGGACGCAAGUCUGACGGAGCAACGCCGCGUGAGUGAAGAAGGCCUUCGGGUUGUAAAACUCUGUUGCCGGGGAAGAACAAGUGCCGUUCGAACAGGGCGGUACCUUGACGGUACCCGGCCAGAAAGCCACGGCUAACUACGUGCCAGCAGCCGCGGUAAUACGUAGGUGGCAAGCGUUGUCCGGAAUUAUUGGGCGUAAAGCGCGCGCAGGCGGCUUCUUAAGUCUGAUGUGAAAUCUUGCGGCUCAACCGCAAGCGGCCAUUGGAAACUGGGAGGCUUGAGUGCAGAAGAGGAGAGUGGAAUUCCACGUGUAGCGGUGAAAUGCGUAGAGAUGUGGAGGAACACCAGUGGCGAAGGCGGCUCUCUGGUCUGUAACUGACGCUGAGGCGCGAAAGCGUGGGGAGCAAACAGGAUUAGAUACCCUGGUAGUCCACGCCGUAAACGAUGAGUGCUAAGUGUUAGAGGGUUUCCGCCCUUUAGUGCUGCAGCUAACGCAUUAAGCACUCCGCCUGGAGACGGGCAAGU
RNAcentral lists this ribosomal RNA (561 nucleotides) under uncultured bacterium. RNAcentral describes it as "bacterial SSU rRNA". It matches the Rfam family "Bacterial small subunit ribosomal RNA", at positions 337 to 873 of the family's 1533-position model. The record is from RNAcentral.